Desmophyllum pertusum is the source of this 79-nucleotide non-coding RNA. The record is from the annotation of a GenBank genome assembly. NCBI's taxonomy places the organism in Eukaryota, Metazoa, Cnidaria, Anthozoa, Scleractinia, Caryophylliidae.
UCUCCUGUACUGUGUAGCUCAGUGGUACAGAAUCCGACUAGAGUGCGGAAGGUCAUAGGUUCGACUCCUGUUGGGAGAA